UCAGACGAUGCGUCAUGCAUAUCAAUAAGCGGAGGAAAAGAAACUAACAAGGAUUCCCCUAGUAACGGCGAGUGAAGCGGGAAGAGCUCAAAUUUGAAAUCUUAAAGGGUUUCCCUUUACGAAUUGUAGUUUAAAGAAGUGUUUUCUGUUGAGGUUUUGGUAAAAGUUCUUUGGAAUAGGAUAUCAUAGAGGGUGAGAAUCCCGUAUUUGACCUUUACUUUCAACUUUGUGAUACACUUUCAAAGAGUCGGAUUGUUUGGGAAUGCAGUCCAAAAUGGGUGGUAAAUUUCAUCUAAAGCUAAAUAUUGGCGAGAGACCGAUAGCGAACAAGUACCGUGAGGGAAAGAUGAAAAGAACUUUGAAAAGAGAGUUAAACAGUACGUGAAAUUGUCAAAAGGGAAGCGUUUGACACCAGUGUUGUUUUUCUGAAAAUCAAUUAAAGAACUGUUUAUGCUAAGUUGUUUAGACUUUAUCAGCUAUCUGUUUAGUUUUGAGCUUUUCUUUAAUGCACUUUUCAGUUAACAAGUCAACAUCAAUUUCUUUUGCUGUAAAAAAGCUUGAGGAAGGUGGCUUGAGAUUCGUCUUAAGUGUUUAUAGCCUCUUGCCUAUGCAGUCGGAGAGAUUGAGGUCUGCAGCGUAGAUCCUUCGGGGCUAAAUGCAUUUGUGCUAAGUUAUAGCAUUUCAUAGACAACUUGUUGACUAUGAUUUGUCUUGUAGCUUACUCGCUUAUGUUAUUUUACCUACGCUUAGGAUGUUGAAUCUGUGCGAGACUAC
RNAcentral lists this ribosomal RNA (774 nucleotides) under uncultured Neocallimastigales. Its description in RNAcentral is "partial large subunit ribosomal RNA". It matches the Rfam family "Eukaryotic large subunit ribosomal RNA", at positions 18 to 644 of the family's 3401-position model. The record is from RNAcentral. Lineage: Eukaryota; Fungi; Neocallimastigomycota; Neocallimastigomycetes; Neocallimastigales.